CUAGCGGCGGACGGGUGAGUAACGCGUGGGAACAUACCCUUCACUACGGAAUAGUCCCGGGAAACUGGGUUUAAUACCGUAUACGCCCUUCGGGGGAAAGAAUUUCGGUGAAGGAUUGGCCCGCGUUAGAUUAGGUAGUUGGUGGGGUAACGGCCUACCAAGCCUACGAUCUAUAGCUGGUUUUAGAGGAUGAUCAGCCACACUGGGACUGAGACACGGCCCAGACUCCUACGGGAGGCAGCAGUGAGGAAUCUUAGACAAUGGGGGCAACCCUGAUCUAGCCAUGCCGCGUGUGUGAUGAAGGCCUUAGGGUCGUAAAGCACUUUCGCCAGGGAUGAUAAUGACAGUACCUGGUAAAGAAACCCCGGCUAACUCCGUGCCAGCAGCCGCGGUAAUACGGAGGGGGUUAGCGUUGUUCGGAAUUACUGGGCGUAAAAGCGCACGUAGGCGGAUCGGAAAGUUGGGGGUGAAAUCCCGGGGCUCAACCCCGGAACUGCCUCCAAAACUAUCGGUCUGGAGUUCGAGAGAGGUGAGUGGAAUUCCGAGUGUAGAGGUGAAAUUCGUAGAUAUUCGGAGGAACACCAGUGGCGAAGGCGGCUCACUGGCUCGAUACUGACGCUGAGGUGCGAAAGUGUGGGGAGCAAACAGGAUUAGAUACCCUGGUAGUCCACACCGUAAACGAUGAAUGCCAGUCGUCGGGUAGCAUGCUAUUCGGUGACACACCUAACGGAUUAAGCAUUCCGCCUGGGGAGUACGGUCGCAAGAUUAAAACUCAAAGGAAUUGACGGGGGCCC
This 794-nucleotide ribosomal RNA is filed under the name uncultured bacterium. Its description in RNAcentral is "bacterial SSU rRNA". It matches the Rfam family "Bacterial small subunit ribosomal RNA", at positions 92 to 922 of the family's 1533-position model. The record is from RNAcentral.